Molecule: non-coding RNA, 88 nt
Filed under: Robertmurraya massiliosenegalensis
Lineage: Bacteria; Bacillati; Bacillota; Bacilli; Caryophanales; Bacillaceae
Description: Purine riboswitch
Rfam family: Purine riboswitch aptamer
About the family: Riboswitches are metabolite binding domains within certain messenger RNAs that serve as precision sensors for their corresponding targets. Allosteric rearrangement of mRNA structure is mediated by ligand binding, and this results in modulation of gene expression.
Source: RNAcentral
AAUACAUGAAUCCUUCAUAUAUCCUCGGUAAUAUGGUCCGAGAGUCUCUACCGAAUCACCUUAAAUGAUUUGACUAUGAAGGCAGGAU